GAACGAACGCUGGCGGCAUGCCUAACACAUGCAAGUCGAACGCUUCUCUUCGGAGAGGAGUGGCGCACGGGUGAGUAACGCGUGGGAACCUGCCCCGGAGUGGGGGAUAACCCGGCGAAAGCCGGGCUAAUACCGCAUACGGCCUAUGGGCGAAAGAUUUAUCGCUCUGGGAGGGGCCCGCGUCCGAUUAGCUAGUUGGCGGGGUAACGGCCCACCAAGGCGACGAUCGGUAGCUGGUCUGAGAGGAUGAUCAGCCACACUGGGACUGAGACACGGCCCAGACUCCUACGGGAGGCAGCAGUGGGGAAUAUUGGACAAGUGGGGGCAACCCUGAUCCAGCAAUGCCGCGUGAGUGAUGAAGGCCUUAGGGUUAGUAAAGCUCUUUCGCACGCGACGAUGAUGACGGUAGCGUGAGAAGAA
This 420-nucleotide ribosomal RNA is filed under the name uncultured bacterium. RNAcentral's name for it is "bacterial SSU rRNA". It matches the Rfam family "Bacterial small subunit ribosomal RNA", at positions 27 to 489 of the family's 1533-position model. The record is from RNAcentral.